GAAAGAUGAAAAGAACUUUGAAAAGAGAGUUAAACAGUACGUGAAAUUGUUGAAAGGGAAACGAUUGAAGUCAGUCGUACCAGCGGGAAAUCAACCUUUCGAGUGGGGUUUUGGAGUUUUGAAGAGUGUCAAAACCUUUGAGAUUUCAAAAUUUUCGCUCUUUUGGUGUACUUUCUCGUGGGUAGGUUAACAUCGAUUUUGAUCAUCAUAAAAAGAUUGGAGGAAUGUAGCUUCGAUCUUGUAUUGAAGUGUUAUA
This 256-nucleotide ribosomal RNA is filed under the name uncultured Septoglomus. RNAcentral describes it as "partial large subunit ribosomal RNA". It matches the Rfam family "Eukaryotic large subunit ribosomal RNA", at positions 359 to 565 of the family's 3401-position model. The record is from RNAcentral. Lineage: Eukaryota; Fungi; Glomeromycota; Glomeromycetes; Glomerales; Glomeraceae.